AGAGUCGCCCGGAUCACCGCGUUGCCGCAAGGUACCGAGGAAAGUCCGGACUCCAUAGAGCAAAGUGGUGGGUAACGCCCACCCGGAGCAAUCCGCGGGAUUAGUGCAACAGAAAGCAAACCGCCUUUUAGAAAUAAAAGGUAAGGGUGAAACGGCGGUGUAAGAGACCACCAGUAAUUGCAGCAAUGCAGUUAGCUAUGUAAAC
This 205-nucleotide RNase P RNA is filed under the name Actinomycetota bacterium. Its description in RNAcentral is "Actinobacteria bacterium partial RNase P RNA component class A". It matches the Rfam family "Bacterial RNase P class A", at positions 1 to 211 of the family's 367-position model. Rfam says of the family: Ribonuclease P (RNase P) is a ubiquitous endoribonuclease, found in archaea, bacteria and eukarya as well as chloroplasts and mitochondria. The record is from RNAcentral. Lineage: Bacteria; Bacillati; Actinomycetota.